CGGUGGAGCAUGUGGUUAAUUCGACGCAACGCGCAGAACUUACCUGGGCUUGACAUCCCGAUCGCACUUUCUGGAAACAGAGAGGUCAGUUCGGCUGGAUCGGUGACAGGUGCUGCAUGGCUGUCGUCAGCUCGUGUCGUGAGAUGUUGGGUUAAGUCCCGCAACGAGCGCAACCCUCGUCCUUAGUUGCCAGCAUUAAGUUGGGCACUCUAAGGAGACUGCCGGUGUUAAACCGGAGGAAGGCGGGGAUGACGUCAAGUCCUCAUGGCCCUUAUGUCCAGGGCUACACACGUGCUACAAUGGCCGGUACAAAGGGUAGCAAGACCGCGAGGUGGAGCCAAUCCCAAAAAGCCGGUCUCAGUUCGGAUUGGAGUCUGCAACUCGACUCCAUGAAGUUGGAAUCGCUAGUAAUCGUGGAUCAGCAUGCCACGGUGAAUACGUUCCCGGGCCUU
This 452-nucleotide ribosomal RNA is filed under the name uncultured Desulfuromonas sp. RNAcentral describes it as "bacterial SSU rRNA". It matches the Rfam family "Bacterial small subunit ribosomal RNA", at positions 930 to 1382 of the family's 1533-position model. The record is from RNAcentral. Lineage: Bacteria; Pseudomonadati; Thermodesulfobacteriota; Desulfuromonadia; Desulfuromonadales; Desulfuromonadaceae.